Long non-coding RNA from Bradysia coprophila, 131 nucleotides. The record is from RefSeq and is a predicted model, not a curated record. Lineage: Eukaryota; Metazoa; Arthropoda; Insecta; Diptera; Sciaridae.
UAUAUGUUUCUUAGAUCUUUUCAGAUUUUACUCAACGCAGUGUGCGUCUAGGGAGAUAACACAUACGUCACUUCGUUGUGUCGAUUUUGGUUUUGUUGAUCUUUCGCCUUGUUGAGUAAGAUAGCGUAUGC